CUUGUUCACCACCACCUACUGGCCACUUGAUCGGUGGCAGGCACUGGGCUACACAUCUUACAAGAUCUGCGAAAUCCUGGUGAAAACCAGCAUUCAAGGAAAGAAUUUAACAGUGAUCAGGACGCAAGCCAGAAGAGGCAGAAUUUCCAGCCUCCUGUCCCUCAUCUAAGAAAUGCAGAGACCAA
This is a long non-coding RNA of Lontra canadensis (Northern American river otter), 185 nucleotides long. RefSeq lists it as uncharacterized. The transcript is spliced from 3 exons. The record is from RefSeq and is a predicted model, not a curated record. NCBI's taxonomy places the organism in Eukaryota, Metazoa, Chordata, Mammalia, Carnivora, Mustelidae.